RNAcentral lists this ribosomal RNA (1422 nucleotides) under metagenome. RNAcentral's name for it is "bacterial SSU rRNA". It matches the Rfam family "Bacterial small subunit ribosomal RNA". The record is from RNAcentral.
AGAGUUUGAUCAUGGCUCAGGAUGAACGCUAGCGGUGCGCCUAAUACAUGCAAGUCGAGCGAUAUAGCGGCGAACGGGUGAGUAACACGUUGGAACCUGCCCCGGACUCAGGGAUAGCCCGCCGAAAGGCGGAUUAAUACCGGAUGGUCCCGCAAGGGUAAAGCUUUUGCGGUCCGGGAGGGGCCUGCGCAGUAUCAGUUUGUUGGUAGGGUAACGGCCUACCAAGACUACGACGCUUAACUGGUCUGAGAGGAUGAUCAGUCACAAUGGAACUGAGACACGGUCCAUACUCCUACGGGAGGCAGCAGUAAGGAAUCUUCCGCAAUGGGCGAAAGCCUGACGGAGCGACACCGCGUGAAGGAUGAAGGCCUUUUGGUUGUAAACUUCUUUUCUGGGGGAAUAAAUGAUGAAGGUACCCCAGGAAUAAGCACCGGCUAACUACGUGCCAGCAGCCGCGGUAAUACGUAGGGUGCAAGCGUUAUCCGGAAUUAUUGGGCGUAAAGCGUGCGUAGGCUGCGCUGCAAGUUUGAGAUUAAAUCUGGUCGCUCAACGAUCAACGCGUCUCAAAAACUACAGUGCUAGAGAAUGACAGAGGCAACUGGAAUUCUGCAUGUAGGGGUAAAAUCCGUUGAUAUGCAGAGGAACACCAAAAGCGAAGGCAGGUUGCUGGGUCAUUUCUGACGCUGUUGCACGAAAGCGUGGGUAGCGAACAGGAUUAGAUACCCUGGUAGUCCACGCCGUAAACGAUGGAUACUCGGUUUGAGGAGGAUUCGACCCCUCUUUGAGCCCAAGCUAACGCGUUAAGUAUCCCGCCUGGGGAGUACGGUCGCAAGAUUAAAACUCAAAGGAAUAGACGGGGACCCACACAAGCGGUGGAGCAUGUGGUUUAAUUCGACGAUAAACGGGGAACCUUACCCAGACUUGACAUCUCCGGAAUUCUACAGAAAUGUGGAAGUGCCGUAAGGAACCGGAUGACAGGUGCUGCAUGGUCGUCGUCAGCUCGUGCCUUGAGGUGUUCGGUUAAGUCCGUAAACGAGCGCAACCCAUGUCCUGUGUUGCAUUUUUCACAGGAGACUGCCGGCUCCAAGUCGGAGGAAGGUAUGGAUGACGUCAGAUCAGCAUGGCCCUUAUGUCUGGGGCCACACACGUGCUACAAUGGCCGAUACAAUGAGCAGCCAACCCGUAAGGGGGAGCCAAUCUCAUCAAAGUCGGUCUAAGUUCGGAUUGAGGGCUGAAAUUCGCCCUCAUGAAGUUGGAAUCGCUAGUAAACGCGAAUCAGACAUGUCGCGUUGAAUAUGUUCCUGGGUCUUGUACUCACCGCCCGUCAUAUCAUGAAAGGUGGGGGUACCCGAAGUCGCCUUAGUCUUUCGGGACGGGUGCCUAAGGUAAACUCACUGAUUGGGAUAAAGUCGUAACAAGGUA